GUUUCCCCCGUGUUCGCUGGAUGUCCCUCCCGUUCGCUCCUCCUUCCACGACCCCACGGAAGCGGAAGGGAAGCUUUUCUCCAAUCGAAACGUCAGCGACGGAAUCCCUCCUCAUAAUCUGGUCGCCCCGACUUCCAACCCCAUCUCUUUCUCCCCAAACGGCACAAAUACCACGGGGCAAUGGAAGAAACUGAGCCCAGCCACCUCUAGGUUUUGCAUUCGCCACCGGGAUGAGAUCUGCUGGCUAUAGCAGCGAUGACGGCUACGGCGGGGCAAAGGCAGGAUCUAGAGGAUGGGUACGCGGGACUUAUCUGAAAGGUCAAUGCUUUCGAUUUUAAUUGUUACUCUGGCACCUUCAAUCGGUGAUCUCCGUUGCCAAGGCUCCUCUUUUCUGGGUGGAUCUGCAUCGGCAUGUAAGGUCUGGACAUUGAGAUGAUCCCGAUGGAUCAAUCAAAUACAUAUGGAUCAGUCAAUUAUCCGUAUUCUUCCUCCUCCUAUUGGUAUUGGAUUUAUUUUCAUGAUUCAUUGCGUGUUAUUGGCAUCAUCUCAAAUGUCUCCACCGUAAAGAACUCUAUCUCUGCGUGAAGGACAAGUUCCCCUACCCUUAUUUGGCAUUCGCCCAUGAGCAGGUUAAUCCCUGAUUAUAUAUACUAAAUUGAUCUCCCCAUGAGCAGGUUAACCCCCGAUUAUAUAUACUAAAUUAUCGUGCCACUGAUUUGCUUCAUGCAUCUCUUUACACUUAUAAAAAUUAUAGGCUUGACGAAAUUUGGAAUUCUGAUCUACAGGUGGCCCGCCUCAGAAUCUGUUGCAGCAAUAAGAAAAAGUGCUCGCCACUUUCUACCAGCAAGCAUGAUGCAUCUCAAUCUCAGGCUCUCUCACGUACAAAGAAGUAAUGAUUUUACUUUUUUGUCGGGUGUCCACCAUCACUUGAGCUGUAACCACUUGAAUGGCUGCCUUCAGCCAAGCUACAUUCUACGAUGACCGACUACUGCUGGAUUAUUAGGUAUUUAUAGUGUUUUAAUUGGUUAUGUCAGUUUUUUUAUCGUUGAUUGGUGAUCUUCAGUGCUCUUCUCUUCUAGCAUCAGUCAAGCUGACUCGAUUCGCUGUAGGAGUAGAUUGAGGAGCUUCUCUAGUCGUGGUUUACUCUGAUUUGUUCGUUAGUAGCUAUCCUCUCAUGGCUUACUCUGAAUUGUUUGCAAGGUGCUUGAUGGAAGGAUCGUCUAAGCAAACAUUUCGUUCUUUUGUACCAUGGUUUCAAGGUGGAAUUAGAAUAGAAUUUCUGCUUAAGCCUCGGAUUCCUUGAUGUUAUGCAGAUAUAUGGAACACAUAGAUUCAUCAUGAAGCAAACACAUCGAAGAUUUGCUUUAGGAGAGGACUGUGUGCUGUCAGAAGUUGUGAUAAUCAAGUGUUACAGAUGGAUUGGUUUGCUGCUUCAGAGUGACAAUAUUUGCCAUGUUCGGGUGUAACUAUAUUGGAGAUAAAACAUGAUGGCACCUUGACAAUUGAGGUAUUCGACAAGCUCUUCUCUAUGAAAUCUUGGUGUUGUAUUGGCUUACUUGCCUUUCCAUCUGAACAAUUUUCUCCUGCUGGUCCUCCCUAAAAGCAUAUUCGUAUAUCUGUACAAGAAUUAACUUAUUCAACAUUUUAAAUAUAAAUACCAGUAUUCCAUUGUAACUUCAAUUGAUGCCAUAUUUCAUUUUCAUUUAUCCAUGCGCACUUUUUUUUGAAGCUACAAAUAAAAGGCAGAACGUCCCGCAGCAAUGCGCGGGGUAUCAUCUAGUACCAACAAAUGAGCAAUGCCAAAAUAUCCGAGAGAACACUAGUAGAGACCUCUUGUACUCUAGAAUCUUAUAUUUAU
Long non-coding RNA from Triticum aestivum (bread wheat), 1858 nucleotides. RefSeq lists it as uncharacterized. The record is from RefSeq and is a predicted model, not a curated record. The transcript is spliced from 3 exons. Lineage: Eukaryota; Viridiplantae; Streptophyta; Magnoliopsida; Poales; Poaceae.